CUAAUUCCGUGCCAGCAGCCGCGGUAAUACGGGAGUGGCAAGCGUUAUCCGGAAUUAUUGGGCGUAAAGCGUCCGCAGGCGGCCCUUCAAGUCUGCUGUUAAAAAGUGGAGCUUAACUCCAUCAUGGCAGUGGAAACUGUUGGGCUUGAGUGUGGUAGGGGCAGAGGGAAUUCCCGGUGUAGCGGUGAAAUGCGUAGAUAUCGGGAAGAACACCAGUGGCGAAGGCGCUCUGCUGGGCCAUCACUGACGCUCAUGGACGAAAGCCAGGGGAGCGAAAGGGAUUAGAUACC
Molecule: ribosomal RNA, 290 nt
Filed under: uncultured Synechococcus sp.
Lineage: Bacteria; Bacillati; Cyanobacteriota; Cyanophyceae; Synechococcales; Synechococcaceae
Description: partial 16S ribosomal RNA
Rfam family: Bacterial small subunit ribosomal RNA
Source: RNAcentral